RNAcentral lists this ribosomal RNA (253 nucleotides) under uncultured bacterium. RNAcentral's name for it is "partial 16S ribosomal RNA". It matches the Rfam family "Bacterial small subunit ribosomal RNA", at positions 524 to 776 of the family's 1533-position model. The record is from RNAcentral.
UACAGAGGUCUCAAGCGUUGUUCGGAUUCAUUGGGCGUAAAGGGUACGUAGGUGGCGUCGUAAGUCGGGUGUGAAAUCUCGGGGCUUAACUCCGAAACUGCAUUCGAUACUGCGGUGCUUGAGGACUGGAGAGGAGACUGGAAUUUACGGUGUAGCAGUGAAAUGCGUAGAGAUCGUAAGGAAGACCAGUGGCGAAGGCGGGUCUCUGGACAGUUCCUGACACUGAGGCACGAAGGCCAGGGGAGCAAACGGG